Molecule: transfer RNA, 76 nt
Filed under: Desulfobacterales bacterium
Lineage: Bacteria; Pseudomonadati; Thermodesulfobacteriota; Desulfobacteria; Desulfobacterales
Also listed under: 1 other name
Description: tRNA-Thr
Rfam family: tRNA
About the family: Transfer RNA (tRNA) molecules are approximately 80 nucleotides in length. Their secondary structure includes four short double-helical elements and three loops (D, anti-codon, and T loops). Further hydrogen bonds mediate the characteristic L-shaped molecular structure. tRNAs have two regions of fundamental functional importance: the anti-codon, which is responsible for specific mRNA codon recognition, and the 3' end, to which the tRNAs corresponding amino acid is attached (by aminoacyl-tRNA synthetases). tRNAs cope with the degeneracy of the genetic code in two manners: having more than one tRNA (with a specific anti-codon) for a particular amino acid; and 'wobble' base-pairing, i.e. permitting non-standard base-pairing at the 3rd anti-codon position.
Source: RNAcentral
GCCAGCGUAGCUCAGAUGGCAGAGCUACUGAUUUGUAAUCAGUGGGUCGGGGGUUCGAGUCCCUUCGCUGGCUCCA